This 60-nucleotide transfer RNA is filed under the name Rhomboptera ligata. RNAcentral's name for it is "tRNA-Arg". Lineage: Eukaryota; Metazoa; Arthropoda; Insecta; Orthoptera; Tettigoniidae. The record is from RNAcentral.
UAAUAAGAAGCAAAUGCAUUCAGUUUCGACCUGACCUUUGGCGAAAAUCGCCCUUAUUAA